GGACUACUCGGGUAUCUAAUCCCGUUCGCUCCCCUGGCUUUCGCGUCUCAGCGUCAGAAAACGUCCAGGACCUCGCUUUCGCCACGGGCGUUCCUUCCGAUCUCAACGCAUUUCACCGCUCCACCGGAAGUUCCAGGUCCCCCUACGUCCCUCCAGACUGGUCGUAUCCGAGCCCCUUCCCCGGUUGAGCCGGGGGAUUUCAGCAUCGGACGUGCCGGUCCGCCUACACGCGCUUUAAGCCCAGUGAUUCCGAAUAACGUUCGCACGGUUCGUCUUACCGCGGCUGCUGGCAC
This 293-nucleotide ribosomal RNA is filed under the name uncultured bacterium. Its description in RNAcentral is "partial 16S ribosomal RNA". RNAcentral also lists the same sequence under 2 other names. The record is from RNAcentral.